This 254-nucleotide ribosomal RNA is filed under the name uncultured bacterium. RNAcentral's name for it is "partial 16S ribosomal RNA". It matches the Rfam family "Bacterial small subunit ribosomal RNA", at positions 524 to 776 of the family's 1533-position model. The record is from RNAcentral.
UACGUAGGGUGCAAGCGUUGUCCGGAAUUAUUGGGCGUAAAGAGCUCGUAGGCGGUCUGUCGCGUCUGCUGUGAAAACUCGGGGCUUAACCCCGGGCCUGCAGUGGGUACGGGGCAGACUAGAGUCCGGUAGGGGAGCGUGGAAUUCCUGGUGUAGCGGUGAAAUGCGCAGAUAUCAGGAGGAACACCAGCGGCGAAGGCGGCGCUCUGGGCCGGAACUGACGCUGAGGAGCGAAAGCGUGGGUAGCAAACAGG